Molecule: long non-coding RNA, 1657 nt
Organism: Mytilus californianus (California mussel)
Lineage: Eukaryota; Metazoa; Mollusca; Bivalvia; Mytilida; Mytilidae
Exons: 2
Source: RefSeq, a predicted model, not a curated record
CUAAUACUAGAUGCAAUAGGUCAACUAUAUUUGGUGUAUGGAAAUAUUUUAUGAUCUCUAUGUCAGUCGUGCAGGUUUUAUUUGACCUUGACCUCAUUUUCACAGUCCAUUGCUCAGUGUUAGGUUUUUGUCGAGCCUGCGACUUUUGUCGCAGAAAGCUCGACAUAGGGAUAGUGAUCCGGCGGCGGCGGCGGCGGCGUUAGCUAACUUCUUAAAAGCUUUAUAUUUUAGAGGGUGGAAGACCUGGAUGCUUCAUACUUUGUAUAUGGAUGCCUCAUGUUACGAAGUUUCCGUCAGUCACAUGUCCAAUGUCCUUGACCUCAUUUUCAUGGUUCAGUGACUACUUGAAAAAAAAGUUCAGAUUUUUUGUAAUGAUAAAUUCUCUCUUAUUAUAAGUAAUAGGAUAACUAUAUUUGGUAUGUGCGUACCUUGCAAGGUCCUCAUGCCCGUCAGACAGUUUUCACUUGACCUCGACCUCAUUUCAUGGAUCAGUGAACAAGGUUAAGUUUUCGUGGUCAAGUCCAUAUCUCAGAUACUAAAAGCAAUAGGUCUAGUAUAUUCGGUGUAUGGAAGGACUGUAAGGUGUACAUGUCCAACUGGCAGGUGUCAUCUGACCUUGACCUCAUUUUCAUGGUUCAGUGGUUAUAGUUAAGUUUUUGUGUUUUGGUCUGUUUUUCUUAUACUGUAUGCAAUAGGUCUACUAUAUUUGGUGUAUGGAAGGAUUGUAAGGUGUACAUGUCUAGCUGGCAGGUGUCAUCUGACCUUGACCUCAUUUUCAUGGUUCAGUGGUUAUAGUUGAGUUUUUGUGUUUUGGUCUGUUUUUCUUAUACUGUAUGCAAUAGGUCUACUAUAUUUGGUGUAUGGAAGGAUUGUAAGGUGUACAUGUCUAGCUGGCAGGUGUCAUCUGACCUUGACCUCAUUUUCAUGGUUCAGUGGUUAUAGUUGAGUUUUUGUGUUUUGGUCUGUUUUUCUUAUACUGUAUGCAAUAGGUCUACAAUAUUUGGUGUAUGGAAUGAUUGUAAGGUGUACAUGUCUAGCUGGCAGGUGUCAUCUGACCUUGACCUCAUUUUCAUGGUUCAGUGGUCAAAGUUAAGUUUUUGAGUUUUGGACUUUUUUUCUAAUACUGCAUGCAAUAGGUCUACUAUAUUUGCUGUAUGGAAUGAUUGUAAGGUGUACAUGUCUAGCUGGCAGGUGUCAUCUGACCUUGACCUCAUUUUCAUGGUUCAGUGGUCAAAGUUAAGUUUUUGAGAUUUGAUCUUUUUUUCUAAUACUAUAUGCAAUAGUUCAACUACAUUUAGUGUAUGGAAAUAUUUUAUGAUCUAUAUGUCAGUCACGCAGGUUUUAUUUGACCUUGACCUCAUUUUCAAGGUUCAUUGCUCAGUGUUAAGUUUUUGUGUUUUGGUCUGUUUUUCUUAAACUAUAAGCAAUAGGUCAACCAUACUUGUUGUAUGGAAGAAUUGUUAGCUGUACAUGCCUGCCUAGCAUGGUUCAUCUGACCUUGACCUCAUUUUCAUGGUUCAUUGGUCAAUGUUUAGUUUACUUGGUUAAUGUUAAGUUUAUGUGACAGUUGUAUUAAAGCUUUAUAUUUAGGACUAUCAACAUAAUAUCAAUGAUUAGUAAAGAAGGCGAGACAUUUCAGCGUGUGCACUCUUGUUGU